UGGGAAUCUAUUUUUCAUCAAACCCUGGAGGGCUGUAUGGAAAGAAGGAGUUUACAUAAUGAAUACAGGAUUUAAGCACACAACAAUGAAUUAGCUUCUCUGUGCUAAACAGAAUUUGUGCCAAGCGAUACUUAGCAACAAUAUGGAAACAAAAAUAUAUUUUUGAAAAAAGUGAGUAAGGCGAGCAUAUUUCUCCAUUUUUUUCCCCUCAUAUUAUCAUGCAUUUGAAUGUGGGAGUGGGUGGGGGACAGGGAACAAGUGAUUUCAAUUCGCGGGAGCAGAAGUGAACCCUUGAAAAUGCUACUUUAGCCAUUCUAUAAGGUGACCAAAGCUGAGAUAAGUUGUUAUCUUACCCAGGAUUAGGGUCAUCAUGUUAGCACAGAUUACUGAACAAGCGUGACCCAUCAGGUGGGACCUGCAGGCACGAACCUAGUAGCACUCUGUCCCUGCAAAGACACAGGCUCUUUCCUCUGUCUUCAGAACUCAGAUCUGAUGUUACCUCACCCAGGAAGGCUUCCCGAAUCUUAGCCAUCAUUCUUUGUAAAUGCACCAAGUUGGGGUAAAAAUUCCCUGGCCCUGUAUAAACGCUUUGGUUGGUCUCCUGUUUUUUCUGCUUGCUUAUAGGUGUCUUACGCAUGAAAAAUCACCUCUGUCCAUUUGAAAGAAGAGAUCUAUUACAAAAGAUCAUCAAAGGCCAAGUAGACAAAACAUACUUGAUGUUUAUAAGAGACUAUCAAUGGCAUAUCAAAGGUCACAAGUUUCUUCUCAUCACAAUAUCAAAACUACAAGAAGGCAAGUCCAGUGUACAAGCCCAUUUCAGGAAUUUUCCUUUGGCCAAAGCAAAUCAUAAGUCUAAAUCCAACAUCCAUGAAAGAUUUUGCCUUCCAAUUUCUAAAUCCGCUGGCAACUGUGAUUUCCAACCUGUCGUCUUCUCAGACCAGUAAGACCACUCCUUUCUGUUGGGUCCCUAAUCCAUGGUAAGGCAGCAAACUGGAAAGGCCUCACGGACAAAGUUAGGUAAAUGCCUACCUUGAGUAUUUCUUUUGAAUCGAGGAUCACAGUCUCUCAAUUUUCUGGGUCUGUUUUUGCUUUCCAGUGCCAUCAAAUCGUUUAUUCUUCCUCUGCUUUUCCAAGUGUUACUCAACUGAGGUUUGGUUAGUUUCAGGCAGUGGCUUGAACAUUAUACACAGAAGUGGAGGCCAGACCUUUGUAUCCUGUGCUCUGAGCCUAGGCAGCACCUCGGUGCCCCAGUUGUUUGACAAUUCCAUUCAAGGGUUAAGCUGUCGUUAGCACUCAUUUAUCUCUGGGUUUUGUCCUAGUUUCCCUUUCAAAAUUGUUGCUUUCGCUCAGUUAGCAGCAUUUAAAGAUAAUUAUUUUUAGUGUAUUUUAUCUGAUAUUGUAGUUGUAUCAAGAGAGAAAAUUGUUUGGGUAAUUCUAUCCUGCCAUAUAACUGAAAACAGAAGUGUUAGAUUUAUUUUCCACACUCAUGACAAAAAUGUGAAUCUAAAAAGUAAAUAUAAGCAAGCAUACUACUCCCAUUAUAAAAAUGAUAAAUACCUCACCAAUCCUUCUAAUUCUAAGCUCCUCAAAUGGGAUUCCGUUCGUUCAGCCCUUAAAUGAGUCAAGUCUUGCCAGUCUCACCAGUCUCAUUUUGAACAACUCCCUUUCUUUCCUUCCUUUUCAACAACACAAAUUUGAUUGUGCCCAGACAUACUGUACUGCGUCAUAGUCCAAUGCUUUGUCUUCACUGCCUCAAUUUCAGAACUUUGUAACUUUUACUCUCCCCUGCAGGUAAAUAAAGCCACUCAUUUCAAGUACCAACUCCAGGAAGGCUUUCCUGAAACCUCUUUAACACAACAUGCACGUGCGUACACACACACACACACACACACACACACACACACACACGCUUGCAUUUAUGUUUAUCACCGUAUUAACUGCAGUUAUAGAUCUUGUGCCAUGGAGUUUCCGGUAUUUUUUUUGUAAUGUUUAUUUAUUUUUGAGAGAAACAAAGUGCAAGCCAGGGUGGUGCAGAGAGAGAGGGAGACACAGAAUGUGAAGCAGGCUCCAGGCUUCAAGCUGUCAGCGC
Molecule: long non-coding RNA, 2089 nt
Organism: Neofelis nebulosa (Clouded leopard)
Lineage: Eukaryota; Metazoa; Chordata; Mammalia; Carnivora; Felidae
Exons: 6
Source: RefSeq, a predicted model, not a curated record